Molecule: ribosomal RNA, 433 nt
Filed under: uncultured bacterium
Lineage: Bacteria
Description: partial 16S ribosomal RNA
Rfam family: Bacterial small subunit ribosomal RNA
Source: RNAcentral
AACGAACGCUGGCGGCAUGCCUAACACAUGCAAGUCGAACGAGACCUUCGGGUCUAGUGGCGCACGGGUGCGUAACGCGUGGGAACCUGCCCUUAGGUUCGGAAUAACUCCCCGAAAGGGGUGCUAAUACCGGAUAAUGUCUUCGGACCAAAGAUUUAUCGCCUUUGGAUGGGCCCGCGUUGGAUUAGCUAGUUGGUAGGGUAAAAGCCUACCAAGGCGACGAUCCAUAGCUGGUCUGAGAGGAUGAUCAGCCACACUGGGACUGAGACACGGCCCAGACUCCUACGGGAAGCAGCAGAGGGGAAUAUUGGAAAAGGGGGGAAGUCCUGAUCCAGCAAUGCCGCGUGAGUGAUGAAGGCCUGAGGGAUGAAAAGCGCUUUUAACCGGGAUGAUAAUGACGGUACCGAAAGAAUAAGCUCCGGCUAACUCCGUG